CGGCACCGAGGAGCGGGCCGGGCCCGGAGCAGCCCUGUAAUUAAAACCCACCCGCAUCUUCUAGGAUUACAGAGCAGUAUCGUUUAUCUAGGAAACGGAGAACCCGGCAUAGUUGUGGAGGAGAUUAGAAAGCCCAUCUUUAUUUCAACCCCCAAUCCCUUUCAAGAACUCUUUUUGUCGGCAGUAUCCUCGCUCCUUGAUAGAACUGUAAUGUGUGUCAUCCUUGGUACAGCUUCCGAACUUCCAUGUGUUUUCAGAGUUUGUUUUUUGUUGUUUACCUAGUUAGCGCCAUCCAUCCAUCCAUCCGUCCAUCCAUCCAUCCAUCCAUCCAUCCAUCCAUCCCUCCAGCGUUUACUGGUUGUGCUUGGAGAACCCAUCCCUGUGCUAAAGACAGAAUGACUAAUGAGAUCUUCUGUCCCGAAUUUCACGUUCUUCUAGAAAAGGGUGGUGCGCAGGCAGAUGGGGGGCGAUACUAGGUGGAGCUAAAUUAAGACAUUCUGGGAACACAGACCACACCACCUCACAGGGAAGGGAGGCGAGCGGUUUCUCCCGGAUGGGCUGCACGGGGCUGGAGCUCAAGAAGGAGGGGGAUCGUAAUUGAAAUGCUGACCAAGCUGGCUCGGGGCAGGAGGAACCCGUCAGCCCAGGAUCUAAGAUACAGACCUGCACGAGGGCGCAGGUGUCCUGGGAACAGCUCAGAGCCUCCUUCACCAGCCUUGGCCUCGGGACUUUAGGAAGAGCUGUUACAUACACCUGUUAUUCAGGAAAUUCUCUGAAAUUUUACUUGGUGCAAGUGAGCCCUGCCAAAGAUUCACCCCCUAAAGUUACAAAGAUCGUAACUGCCCUAAAUGACUCCCGCCAAAGCGCUCUGAGCAGGUGCGCGCACACCGCUGACUGCUUUAUUCUCAGAGCUGGGUGGGGCACCCAGAGUUACUAGGACCGGGGACAGGACGCCCUGGGCAACGGACAGAGCGUUUGGAGACGGUGUGGGCUUCAGUCCGCCCAGCUCGCGGCUGUGACGGAAAUCCCCUCGUGCGCCAUCAGUAGCGCGUGCGGAAGCAUUGGGCGUGGCGCUUCUGGGGCAGGUGCACUUGAGCCAGGGCGCUGGUUCCACUCUGGCUCUGCCACUUACCAGCCGCGUGGUUGGUUUGUUGUAUGAUGUGGGUGAGAUUGCUUCACAUCUCCUUUCCUCUUCUGUAAAAUGGGGCUAGUGAAAGCAAGGGCCUCACAGGACGGUGGUGAGGGUUGUGCGUGUUUGCAUGAUUUAUCACAGGAGAACCGUGCCUGGCAUAAGAGAUGUUUGCUAUCGUUUUUAUCGCUACUAGUGUGUGCUCAGCCUGUGUUACAGUUCAUCUGCGCUUUUAGGAAUCUCCUUCAUAAAAAAUAAAAAUCAUACAUUGUAGUGUGGUCACAUAAACCCCAAUGUCACUGGACCUCCCGAAAGGCACCACUUACUCAUCAAAUUAUUCACCAAAGUAUGUCACCAGCCACCCUGUCCAUUUCCUUUUCUUUUCUUUUUUUUAAUGUUUAUUUUUGAGAGAGAGAGAGAGAGAGAGAGAGCGAGCAUGGAAGGGCACAGAGACAGGGGGAGACAGAAUCCUAAGCAGGCUCCAGGCUCCGAGCUGUCAGCACAGAGCCCCAAGUGGGGGUUGAACCCAUGAACUGUGAGAUCAUGACCUGAGCCGAAGUCGGUCGCUCAACCGACUGAGCCCCCCCACCCCCCCAGUCACUCCUACCCUGUCCAUUUCUAAACUACACAGACUAUGUUACCUAAGUUGGUUUUAGUUUUCUUUUAUUCACUGAGUAUCUCCAUGCUUGAAACCUCGUAGCUCUCUCCCAGACACGCUGGGUGUGGACCACUUCUCCCGUCUCCCGACACCAUGCAGCACCGUGCUCUUGGUGGCCAGACAGCAGUGUUACUGGGAUGUGUUUCAAAAUGAAGAAGCAUCUUGGGAUCGAUGCUUCUUCACGCCUGGCUUUGGACUUUGUAAUUCUGCACACAUAGUGUGAUGGCCCUCCUAAAACUCCACUCUGUACUACGAAGAGGAAACAUGAACCAGGCAUUGGGGUGAAGAUCAGAGCCUCGCGGAACAUCGGUUCAUCCACAGCCUGGGCUCCCUCCUGACCCACCAGCUCUAGGCCCCCUCCAAAACUGCCAACUCGUUUUAACUGGGGCCCAAAGAAGACAUCAUCUUGAAAAGUAAUAUUGGUGUGAACAGCCGAGGCAAACCAACACAUUCUUUUUUUUUUUUUUUUUAAUUUUUUUUUUUUCCAACGUUUAUUUAUUUUUGGGACAGAGAGAGACAGAGCAUGAACGGGGGAGGGGCAGAGAGAGAGGGAGACACAGAAUCGGAAACAGGCUCCAGGCUCUGAGCCAUCAGCCCAGAGCCCGACGCGGGGCUCGAACUCACGGACCGCGAGAUCGUGACCUGGCUGAAGUCGGACGCUUAACCGACUGCGCCACCCAGGCGCCCCUACAUUCUUUAAUCCAAUAGAAAAUUCUGGAGCUUCCUGUGAGUUUGUAAGACUGUGUGACAGUUCUGUCUGUGGCUUUCUUUGUUGAUGAACCUCACAUCGAGUGCCGGCUGCUCACCAGGAGGAUGGUGUCUUUCUGGUGUUGAGGGAGGCACACGUGGGGACAGCACGGGCGCCGUCCCCAGGGCCUCUGGGACCUGACGGGUGUGGAUGGAGACGUCGAUGGAGCAACAGGCUGGGCAGGACGUGGACGGCACCCAGGAGGAGCUCCUUACAAGCAGUACGUGUCACGGAAACUCACAUAAGCUUCCUAAGUCGAUUGACAAAUACAGUUUUUUUUUAUUUUUUUAAUGUUUACUUAGUUUUGAUAGAGCAUGAGCGGGGGAGGGGCAGAGAGAGAGGGAGACCCAGAAUCCGAAGCAGGCUCCAGGCUCCGACUGUCAGCACAGAGCCCGACUCGGGGCUUGAACUCACGCGAGAUCACGCGAGAUCACGCGAGAUCAUGACCUGAGCCGAAGUCGGACGCUCAACCGACUGAGCCACCCGGGCGCCCCGACAAAUACGUUUUUUUUUUUUUUAAAGCUGCCUGUAAUUAUUUAAAGGAUUCUUUUUAGCAACCUAUAUUACGAUGAAGCAUAUUUAAUUUUAAAUCAACUAAUUUCCACGUUAGAGACACAAACAAUGUUCCCAUUAGGAUAUCGUACGAUCAUUAAAAAAAAUUCAUUGUUCAUAGUGAAGAAACUCAUGGAAAGAAACUGUAAAACUUCGGUUUAGGUUUCUGUGAAGAAGAAACUCCUUCAGGGGGAAACGCUACAUAAAUGACAUUUAAAUAAGACUUGUUCUUGAAACACUUUCUGACUACAGUCAAGAAGGGAGCCUGUCACUGUCACCUACGUAUCCACCCUGACACGUCCCUUUUCACCAUCUGCCGCAGCAGCCCCCAGAAGCAGUGUUCGGGGCAACACCUGAUGGCGAUCACUCGGGAAAGAAGUCCUUCCUGAUGCCACGACCAGGUGCGGGGUUUCGGUUACUUCAUGUGGCCAGGACGGGCACCCUGCCCAGAGUCCUGCAGGACUCCCUUACUGGAAUUCUGAUUCUAGAACCAACCAGCACAUGGAGGGAAAACUGUGACUCCCAGCCCGAGGAAAUUGGGCGAUAACCUCGUCAACAGGAUUGCUGAGGCCUCGGGGCUGUUAGAUGCAAAACGGGCUGACUCUUCCCCCAUCUGUUUUUUUUUUUUUUUUUUUUUAAUUUUUUUUUUCAACGUUUAUUUAUUUUUGGGACAGAGAGAGACAGAGCAUGAACGGGGGAGGGGCAGAGAGAGAGGGAGACACAGAAUCGGAAACAGGCUCCAGGCUCCGAGCCAUCAGCCCAGAGCCUGACGCGGGGCUCGAACUCACGGACCGCGAGAUCGUGACCUGGCUGAAGUCGGACGCUUAACCGACUGCGCCACCCAGGCGCCCCUGUUUGUUUUUUUUUAAGUUCAUUUUGGGAGAGGGGGAGCGUGCAUGCACACAAGCAGGGGAGGGCAGAGAGAGGGAGAGAACCCCAGGCAGGCUCUGCACUGUCAGCACAGAGCCCGACAUGGGGCUCGAUCCCAGAACCAUGAGAUCAUGACCCUAGCUGAGAUCAGGAGUCAGACGCUUAAUCGACUGAGCCCCCAGGCGUCCCUACUCCCCAUCUGUUUUCAGGCAAAAUCACAGCAACGGGCCACUCAGGGAGGAGGGGAGACAGAGCUACUCCUGUGGAGCUUCUUUAACACCUUUCGGGAAAGGAAGUGGUCCCUCUGCGUAAUGUCCUCAUUUCUCCUGUGGACUCUGACCCGCCCAUUCUUCAAGGUUUGGGAGAGACUCGGAAGAGGCCCGAAGUGGUGCUUGGGGACCGUCUUCCAGAAGCGCUGGCCAGGAGCUUCCGGUGGGGGGUGGGUGGGGAGGGCUGGCCUCCCGGCUCCUAACUCGGCAUCACCGUGCCUGACGUCGAGUGGCAGGCCGUCUUGGGGCCCGGCCGGUAACACCCGUGUGCGGCAUCGCCUUGGCUGGCUGGACGUGAGCAGGGACUGACCUGGUCCCGGGGUGCACAGCUGGGCACGUGGCUGAGCCGGGAGGGGCUCUCGUGGCCGCAUCACUGAUAUCCAGGCAAGGGGGCCUCUGCCCACCGGCUCUAACCGCAGCCGGGUUCCCCGGGGAGCCCGGGGCCCGAGCGUCCGCGGAACAGCAUGAAACCGUCUCUGCUGCAAAUAUCCCUCAAGAGGACAGUUUCACAACUUUCACGUGUGCCGAGGAGUAGACGUGGUAUUGUCACUAGGACUCUAGAGGCGGGAUUUUCGAGAGGAUUGUUCAUCUUUCUCUGGGUGGCUGGGCCGAGAACCGGUUCCGUCUCUCCCCGGCCAGCAGACGGCCCCGGCGGGCCACACCACGGGCUGCUCUGGAUUGUGUUGGUUCCUUUGUGGAGCGAGAGCCCGUGCUUCAUUGUAGCUACAACAUACCCCACGCUUCCCAGCCCGAGUCUCUUGGGCCUCACACUCAUGCUGUAGGGCUUUCAAAACACAGAGCCCCAAGCGUAAGCUUUAAAAAUGCGUCCUGUUCUCUGCCGUUCCUUUCGGCCUGUGAUGAUUUACAAGAAGACAACUCUUAGGGUUUUCUUGGAACCGAGUCCAGCCAGAGAAAGAACCAGGAAGUUCUGGGGCCCUUUCUCAGCCACAAAAAGAAAUAAAAUACUAGCUUGGUUCUCUGAGGUCUACGGUCUUAGGCGGAGUGCAGAAGUGUGAAAGAACGAGCCUGAGAACACAGCCAGUCCCUCUGACUUUCUGCCCGACGUGAAGGUUCACGGGUGGAUACUUUUACCCGUUUCCCCCACCGCUGACUCUGGCAGCCGCCAGUCUCUUCUCUGCAUCUGUGAAGUUUGAGUACGAUUUGUCAGUACAUCUCAGACCUUCCCUUGAGUGACCUCACUGAUGAGAAAGCACCACUGGGUCCCUGGGGAGACACCACGAGCUUUGCUUACACAGUGCGUACAGGUUUCCAGUUCGUUGUCACGCUGCCUCGCUGUGGGCCAGCGGUCACGGCCACCUCGCCGGGGCAUGGCCGCCGGGGCCGGGAUGGACAGCACUGAGCCUGCACCACAGCGGGGCUGGGCCACAGCUGAGUAAACAGGAGAGCCUCCUCCACCACCCGCGCCCCCGGGCAGGCCAGGCUUUCAGCUUACUCUGCGUUUCCCUGUGUCCCGGGACUCUGCUUUGCACACAGCGGACGUGCCCUGAAAGUUACUGUUAAAGAUAUCUGGAAAGGAGAGACAGAGGAAGGGAGGGAGAGAGAGAGAGAGAGAGAGAGAGAGAGAGAGAGAGAGAAUUGAAUGUCUUGAAUUUUCAACUUGAAGACAUUUACUGCUAACAUAAUGGGAAAGUUUUUUUUUCUUAAUGUUUGUUUAUUUUUGAGGGAGAGAGAAAGAGAACGAGUAGGGGAGGGGCAGAGAGAGGGAGACACGGAAUCCAAAGCAGGCUCCAGGCUCCGCGAGCUGUUUCAGCACAGAGCCCGACACGGCGCUUGAACUCACGAACCAGGAGACCAUGAUCUGAACCGCAGUCGGACACUUAAUCAGCUGAGUCCCCUAGGCGCCCCGGGAAUAGUUUUUUAGUAAUAGCAGCAGGAGGAACAGGGCAGGCAAGUGUAAAUGCUGAACCCUGAACGUAGGCGAGGUAGAAACCAGGAGAGGUUGAGGGAAGGUGAUUGUCAUGGAUCUCAGUGGAGAGGCUAACACAUCCUACAUGUGGUUUCCUUCCCUGUAAGUUCUCUUCUUCAGAAAGCUGGGACACGGUCGGGCCGUCCCUUUACGUUCGUGGUAAAACUGCCAAGAUCCUUCCAGGCUGGGGACUCUCAGAAGGUUUUGCCAACUUGGGAAAGAUAUUUCAUGACUUUACGGUUCACCUGCACGUGCUCACAUCUGCCUUCCACAUACUUCCUUUUUAAUUCUUCUUCUUCUUCUUCUUCUUCUUCUUCUUCUUCUUCUUCUUCUUCUUCUUCUUCUUCUUCUUUUGUUGUUGCUUUGGCUUUUUUUUGCUGUGCAUGGACUGUUUGUGGGGAAUUGCUUCCCUGAGGUUUUAAAGACACGAUUCCAAGAAUGAGCAGUGCAGACCGAUUUCGGAGUUAGGCCUCUGAGGCCAGAGCAGGUCCUUCCUCCCAGUAUCUUUUGCCACUUAAUUUGAAUCAACUGGAAAAGACUGUAGGAAAACUCAUAUUAAUACAAUUAAUAAGGUCAAUUAUGCUCUCUCACUGACCGUUCUUUACAUAUACAUCUCAUUACUUUGAAAAUAAGCUGUUGAUAUUUGACUGCUUUUUAGCCGCAAAAUGAGUUUUGUUCAGAUCAACCCUAUGUGUUUAAAGCCCUCUACCUGAAUUGGGUUCUCCUUCGGGGGCCUCACAGUCAGGGCAGGAACAGGGGAGAGAACACUUCCAAAAAUCCCUAAAUUAUUCUGUAUAUCUUCUCCAUCAAACUCUCCAGCAGCCCAAAGUCACAAACCCGUUUCCCACCAAACGUGAGUCCCCUAACCUGAAAGUCAGGGGCAGCGCAGUAGACCCCACUGACACAGAAUAACCCCACUGAAAAGUGCACAUUCAAACGCCCUCUCUCUCUCUAUCUCUCUCUCCCAUAAACAGGAACAAGAAGAAUGUGGUGACACCAUAUGGAAACACCUGAUGUUCCACAAAGGAAGAGGCUCCUGACGGAUCCGUGAGGAAGGCCAGCUCUCAGGGCAGUAAUUGUGUUUUUCUAACACCUGGGCAAGUGAAUUAUGGACACCCCCCGGGGGUGAACAGUGCGCACGCAGACGCAUCAGGACUGCUGCUGAUGCUGCGAGGCGAGACUAAUAUAAAUGGGAGUCGUACAAAUAAAAGCUCCGUGGGGGGGCUCUCUACCGAAGCCCGAGUUCAAGUCCCCCUUCUGAAGUUUAGAGACAGCCUGCCUGGGUGGUGUUUGUCCUCGGACCCAGUGAGGAGACCCGGAGUGAUGAACACUGACUCGGAAGGAGGGGGCAUGCCCCGGUGGGUCAGCCGUACCCAGUAGCCCAGUGCUUUGGGGACGGAGCCGCGGAUACCCGGCCGGUGCCUGCGCGGGACCCUCAUGAAAGCAUCAGUGCUGCGGCCUGGGGACCAAGCCACGGAGACCCCGACGCCCGGCUGGCCAUCAGUAGCGUGCCUGCGGUUCAGCAGCUCAGCCGAGAGUGCAUCUAGGGCCGACCGCCUCCUGCACGCGGGAGAGGGCAGCGCUGUGUGAGCGCCACGGGGGCUGUGGACGCAGAAGUGAAAUCUGAUCGCGGGCCAGGAAAAGCCUGCGCAGCUAGAGCCCAGAGGAACCGCCGACCUUGAGUCAGGGCGCGGUCAUG
Molecule: long non-coding RNA, 7852 nt
Filed under: Lynx pardinus (Iberian lynx)
Lineage: Eukaryota; Metazoa; Chordata; Mammalia; Carnivora; Felidae
Source: RNAcentral